Non-coding RNA from Ornithorhynchus anatinus (platypus), 138 nucleotides. The record is from Rfam. Lineage: Eukaryota; Metazoa; Chordata; Mammalia; Monotremata; Ornithorhynchidae.
ACUCUCUCAGGGUUGCACCUGGAGAGUUUACAGUACUCUACCGGUCUCAGUUUUGGGAGGGAGAGUCAAGCAAAGGCAUACCCAUUCUAUUCCUAGUUGGGCCAGUGGCUAGGGAGUGGAAGGCAAUCUGCUACAAGU